UCCUAGAAAAAGAAAUAUAUAAAUAGCAUUUUCAUCUUCGAUGCAGUACAGUCUGUAGCGGGCUGUGGUUGUACUUCUGAUGGAAAUAUUACUAUUGUAGUAGGAAUGAACACGUGGAUGACUUAGGGUAGAGGGUAAUAGAUAAACAUUUUUAUAUAUAUCGAGUAGCGCUGGCAGGGUAGCCAAGUGUGCACCAAGUAUAAUUUGUGGUUUUCACUGUGGUGAGUCUGAAGAUGGCUGUCUUCUUUGUUGUAGCUCCUGUAGUCUGGUUGAAGUUUGCCAAUGCUUCAGAGGUCCUCUCCAUCGUCAGGGUAAUGGAAAAACUUAGUUAUAGGAGACUGGCAGUGGGGAUUGGGAACGAAUAGGAGCUGGGGACAUGGGGGGCUCUCAUAAGGGCUCCUCAGGUUCCUGCCAUAGGAUCAACUGACAUAUGAGAGUUUUAAUGUGUCAACAGCUGGGAGAUGAAGCAGAUUUCUGUACAACUGCAUUAGAAAGAAGGAAUACAAAUAUUUGGUACAAAUUAGUGGCAGAAGUCUUCUCAAUAGGCUAGCCCUAACUGGCACAGAAGAGGAAAUUAAGAGACAAAGGGCCCAAGGAAAUUUACUUGGCAUGCACUUGUGAGAUGAAUGUCUCUCCUUUCCCAAUGGCCUAUUUUGGAUCAAAAUGCUCAGAUAAUGAAAGGCAAUGACGCAGUUCCAUCCUGCAAAAGCUGUUGAGUGGUCCAAAACUACAAGACACAGAAGAAGCCAAAUCAGAAACAUGAAGUCAAUGUAGAGCUCAUUUGUUGUUUUACAUCUGAAUGUUAUUUUGUAUGAUAUAAAUGUGCACAUGUCUUGUCACUGCUUAUAGCUAAUUAAAAGAAUUAAUUUAUCUACUUCA
This is a non-coding RNA of Zootermopsis nevadensis, 879 nucleotides long. The record is from RefSeq and is a predicted model, not a curated record. Lineage: Eukaryota; Metazoa; Arthropoda; Insecta; Blattodea; Termopsidae.